RNAcentral lists this ribosomal RNA (213 nucleotides) under uncultured bacterium. Its description in RNAcentral is "partial 16S ribosomal RNA". It matches the Rfam family "Bacterial small subunit ribosomal RNA", at positions 524 to 737 of the family's 1533-position model. The record is from RNAcentral.
UACGUAGGGUGCGAGCGUUGUCCGGAAUUAUUGGGCGUAAAGGGCUCGUAGGCGGUUUGUCGCGUCGGGAGUGAAAUCCAUUGGCUUAACUGGUGGCUUGCUUUCGAUACGGGCAGACUGGAGGUAUGCAGGGGAGAAUGGAAUUCCCGGUGUAGCGGUGAAAUGCGCAGAUAUCGGGAGGACACCGGUGGCGAAGGCGGUUCUCUGGGCCUG